GACGAACGCUGGCGGCGUGCUUAACACAUGCAAGUCGAACGGAAAGGCCCUGCUUUUGUGGGGUGCUCGAGUGGCGAACGGGUGAGUAACACGUGAGUAACCUGCCCUUGACUUUGGGAUAACUUCAGGAAACUGGGGCUAAUACCGGAUAGGAGCUCCUGCUGCAUGGUGUGGGUUGGAAAGUUUCGGCGGUUGGGGAUGGACUCGCGGCUUAUCAGCUUGUUGGUGGGGUAGUGGCUUACCAAGGCUUUGACGGGUAGCCGGCCUGAGAGGGUGACCGGCCACAUUGGGACUGAGAUACGGCGCAGAAUCCUACGGGAGGCAGCAGUGGGGAAUAUUGCACAAUGGGCGGAAGCCUGAUGCAGAAACGCCGCGUGCGGGAUGACGGCCUUCGGGUUGUAAACAGCUUUCGCCUGUGACGAAGCGUGAGUGACGGUAAUGGGUAAAGAAGCACCGGCUAACUACGUG
This 468-nucleotide ribosomal RNA is filed under the name uncultured bacterium. Its description in RNAcentral is "partial 16S ribosomal RNA". It matches the Rfam family "Bacterial small subunit ribosomal RNA", at positions 28 to 507 of the family's 1533-position model. The record is from RNAcentral.